AUUGAACGCUGGCGGCAGGCCUAACACAUGCAAGUCGAGCGGAUGAAGGGAGCUUGCUCCUGGAUUCAGCGGCGGACGGGUGAGUAAUGCCUAGGAAUCUGCCUGGUAGUGGGGGAUAACGUCCGGAAACGGGCGCUAAUACCGCAUACGUCCUGAGGGAGAAAGUGGGGGAUCUUCGGACCUCACGCUAUCAGAUGAGCCUAGGUCGGAUUAGCUAGUUGGUGGGGUAAAGGCCUACCAAGGCGACGAUCCGUAACUGGUCUGAGAGGAUGAUCAGUCACACUGGAACUGAGACACGGUCCAGACGCCUACGGGAGGCAGCAGUGGGGAAUAUUGGACAAUGGGCGAAAGCCUGAUCCAGCCACGCCGCGUGUGUGAAGAAGGUCUUCGGAUUGUAAAGCACUUUAAGUUGGGAGGAAGGGCAGUAAGUUAAUACCUUGCUGUUUUGACGUUACCAACAGAAUAAGCACCGGCUAACUUCGUG
RNAcentral lists this ribosomal RNA (484 nucleotides) under uncultured bacterium. Its description in RNAcentral is "partial 16S ribosomal RNA". It matches the Rfam family "Bacterial small subunit ribosomal RNA", at positions 30 to 507 of the family's 1533-position model. The record is from RNAcentral.